RNAcentral lists this ribosomal RNA (460 nucleotides) under uncultured bacterium. Its description in RNAcentral is "partial 16S ribosomal RNA". It matches the Rfam family "Bacterial small subunit ribosomal RNA", at positions 338 to 795 of the family's 1533-position model. The record is from RNAcentral.
CCUACGGGUGGCAGCAGUGAGGAAUAUUGGUCAAUGGGCGUGAGCCUGAACCAGCCAAGUCGCGUGAAGGAUGACUGCUCUAUGGGUUGUAAACCUCUUUUAUAAGGGAAUAAAGUGUGGCACGUGUGCUUUUUUGUAUGUACUUUAUGAAUAAGGAUCGGCUAACUCCGUGCCAGCAGCCGCGGUAAUACGGAGGAUCCGAGCGUUAUCCGGAUUUAUUGGGUUUAAAGGGUGCGUAGGUGGGUUGUUAAGUCAGUUGUGAAAGUUUGCGGCUCAACCGUAGAAUUGCAGUUGAUACUGGCAGUCUUGAGUACGGUUGAGGUAGGCGGAAUGCGUGGUGUAGCGGUGAAAUGCUUAGAUAUCACGAAGAACUCCGAUUGCGAAGGCAGCUUGCUAAGCUGCCACUGACGUUGAUGCUCGAAAGUGUGGGUAUCAAACAGGAUUAGAUACCCUUGUAGUC